This 891-nucleotide ribosomal RNA is filed under the name fungal sp. Its description in RNAcentral is "eukaryotic LSU rRNA". The stretch from base 401 to 891 matches the Rfam family "Eukaryotic large subunit ribosomal RNA", at positions 1 to 496 of the family's 3401-position model. The record is from RNAcentral. Lineage: Eukaryota; Fungi.
GCUUUGGCGGCUCCGGCCGCCAAAGGACCUUCAAACUCCAGUCAGUAAACGCAGACGUCUGAUAAACAAGUUAAUAAACUAAAACUUUCAACAACGGAUCUCUUGGUUCUGGCAUCGAUGAAGAACGCAGCGAAAUGCGAUAAGUAAUGUGAAUUGCAGAAUUCAGUGAAUCAUCGAAUCUUUGAACGCACAUUGCGCCCCUUGGUAUUCCGGGGGGCAUGCCUGUUCGAGCGUCAUUACAACCCUCAAGCUCUGCUUGGAAUUGGGCACCGUCCUCACUGCGGACGCGCCUCAAAGACCUCGGCGGUGGCUGUUCAGCCCUCAAGCGUAGUAGAAUACACCUCGCUUUGGAGCGGUUGGCGUCGCCCGCCGGACGAACCUUCUGAACUUUUCUCAAGGUUGACCUCGGAUCAGGUAGGGAUACCCGCUGAACUUAAGCAUAUCAAUAAGCGGAGGAAAAGAAACCAACAGGGAUUGCCUUAGUAACGGCGAGUGAAGCGGCAACAGCUCAAAUUUGAAAGCUGGCCCUUUUAGGGUCCGCAUUGUAAUUUGUAGAGGAUGAUUCGGCGAGGGCUCCUGCCUAAGUCCCCUGGAACGGGGCGUCAUAGAGGGUGAGAAUCCCGUAUGCGGUAGGUUGCCUUAGCCAUGUGAAUCUCCUUCGACGAGUCGAGUUGUUUGGGAAUGCAGCUCUAAAUGGGAGGUAAAUUUCUUCUAAAGCUAAAUACCGGCCAGAGACCGAUAGCGCACAAGUAGAGUGAUCGAAAGAUGAAAAGCACUUUGGAAAGAGAGUUAAAAAGUACGUGAAAUUGUUGAAAGGGAAGCGCUUGCAACCAGACUUGUCCGCAGUUGCUCAGCCGGUCUCCUGACCGGCGUACUCUUCUGCGGCCAGGC